NNNNNNNNNNNNNCGGCUGUGCCGAGCCGGGGCUGGGGAGGUACCCCCGGCAGAGGCCGGCGGCUGUGCCGAGCUGGGCUGCCAGAGGCUCCUGCCAUCCCCUCAUUCAUCUGUUUCAAUGGCCAGGGAUUUCCUGGGAAAAACACAAACUCCAGCCGCCCGGCCAGCGAUUGGUGCCCACCGGAACAGGUCCCCGCCUGUGUGUUGCCGGCUGAUGCGCCAGCAGGAAUCCGGAUGCGCUCGGGUUAUCUCCCGUGACCCUGGGGAGCCUGGGGGGCCCCGGCAGGCGGCUGAGUCACUGCUCAGGAAUGCUGGUUGGCCACACACAGCCUGCAGCCGGCAGGAGCCGCCGAGUUCCCAGCAGCUCCCCAGCUCGCCAAUCCCCCUUCGGCUGCUUCUCACACCCUCCGCCCCUGAGCUUGGGGUGGGGGGUUCAGGCAGCGCUAAGCCCCCUUCAGGGGUUGAGCCCCGGGGCUCCGCUACUGCAGCCUCAGGGCUGCUCUACCGUCUACUACAGCCCCUGGGGAGCAGAGACUUGCCACAGCACAGGGUGUCCGGGCCACGGCCCUGACCCACCUCCUGCACCGGGGCUGGGAGAAGGGCAGGUGCAGAGCCCCCUGCGCCAGCUCCACACCACCCUACGUGGCCUCUGUCCGGUGCCAGGGGAGGGGGGAGGCUUCUCAGGGGGCAGCUUCCACCCACUCCAUUGCCCCUUAGACUGCCAGAGGGGCAUCCGCAUCCCUGAGAAUCAGGAACACAAUUGGGGGGGGUCCUCUGGGCCUCAGCAAAGGGCCCCUGAUGUGGGGCGGCCGAGGGCGGCCGAGGGAGCGGGGGCCGUGUCCAUGAGGCUGGGCAAGGGGCACAGGCAGACUGGCCUAGUGCACCCCGCCAGCAACGGCUGCUCCCGGCAGGGCCUCAAGGAGCAGGCUGGGGCUGGUGAUGUUGCUCCUGAGGCUCUAAAGUCCAGGACAGGGACUUGGGGCUGCGAGUGCGAAGGCCGCACCUCCCUGCUGCUCUGCCGGGAAAGCAGAGGGCUCUCUUGGAAUGCCCGUCCCUGUGCCCAUCACAUGCCCAGCCCAGCUUCUCCUUUGGACGGGACCUGCCCUGGUCCUGAAGGGUCUCAGGGCCUGAUCCAGCCCGAACAAAAU
This 1148-nucleotide long non-coding RNA is filed under the name Chrysemys picta bellii (western painted turtle). RNAcentral describes it as "lncRNA (ENSCPBG00000008582.1)". Lineage: Eukaryota; Metazoa; Chordata; Testudines; Emydidae. The record is from RNAcentral.